GAUUGGUGGUUUUUAAUUGAGAGCAUACUUAUCUGAUGAUUUCAAUGAUGUCUAAAGCAAGUAUCGACAUACCCUUCCAUCGAUCUCACUUAUCUAACCAAUUUGGUUGAUUAUGAAUUGAAUAAGAUUGCUUGGUCAUUUGUGUUUAUCCAUGCCGACUAGGUUUGUCAGUAUGAAAUUGCACUGAUCUGAACUUGAUCAGUCAGACACU
This 211-nucleotide long non-coding RNA is filed under the name Elaeis guineensis (African oil palm). RNAcentral describes it as "long non-coding RNA (EGUI_LNC060567)". The record is from RNAcentral. Lineage: Eukaryota; Viridiplantae; Streptophyta; Magnoliopsida; Arecales; Arecaceae.